Molecule: ribosomal RNA, 605 nt
Filed under: uncultured bacterium
Lineage: Bacteria
Description: bacterial SSU rRNA
Rfam family: Bacterial small subunit ribosomal RNA
Source: RNAcentral
AGCGGGGCUUCGGCCCCGUGGAAACUGGCGCACGGGUGAGGAACGCGUGGGAAUCUACCCCGGGGUGGGGAAUAACCGCUGGAAACGGCGGCUAAUACCGCAUACGCCUUGCGAGGGAAAGCUUUAGCGCCCUGGGAUGAGCCCGCGUCGGAUUAGCUUGUUGGUGAGGUAACGGCUCACCAAGGCUUCGAUCCGUAGCUGGUCUGAGAGGAUGAUCAGCCACACUGGGACUGAGACACGGCCCAGACUCCUACGGGAGGCAGCAGUGGGGAAUAUUGGACAAUGGGGGCAACCCUGAUCCAGCCAUGCCGCGUGCGUGAAGAAGGCCUUAGGGUUGUAAAGCGCUUUCGGCGGGGAAGAUGAUGACGGUACCCGCAGAAGAAGCUCCGGCUAACUCCGUGCCAGCAGCCGCGGUAAUACGGAGGGGGCUAGCGUUGUUCGGAAUUACUGGGCGUAAAGGGCGCGUAGGCGGAUCGUCAAGUCAGAGGUGAAAGCCCUGGGCUCAACCUGGGAACUGCCUUUGAAACUAAUGGUCUAGAGUCCGAGAGAGGAUGGCGGAAUUCCCAGUGUAGAGGUGAAAUUCGUAGAUAUUGGGAAGAACACCA